CCUACGGGAGGCAGCAGUAAGGAAUAUUGGUCAAUGGACGAAAGUCUGAACCAGCCAUGCCGCGUGAAGGAUUAAGGCCCUCUGGGUUGUAAACUUCUUUUAUCUGGGACGAAAAAAGGGUAUUCUUACUCACUUGACGGUACCAGAGGAAUAAGCACCGGCUAACUCCGUGCCAGCAGCCGCGGUAAUACGGAGGGUGCAAGCGUUAUCCGGAUUUACUGGGUUUAAAGGGUGCGUAGGUGGGUUUGUAAGUCAGUGGUGAAAUCUCCGAGCUUAACUCGGAAACUGCCAUUGAUACUAUAGAUCUUGAAUUAUCUGGAGGUAAGCGGAAUAUGUCAUGUAGCGGUGAAAUGCUUAGAUAUGACAUAGAACACCAAUUGCGAAGGCAGCUUACUACGGAUAUAUUGACACUGAGGCACGAAAGCGUGGGGAUCAAACAGGAUUAGAUACCCUGGUAGUCCACGCCCUAAACGAUGGAUACUCGACAUCAGCGAUACACUGUUGGUGUCUGAGCGAAAGCAUUAAGUAUCCCACCUGGGAAGUACGAUCGCAAGAUUGAAACUCAAAUGAAAUUGACGG
This 579-nucleotide ribosomal RNA is filed under the name uncultured bacterium. Its description in RNAcentral is "bacterial SSU rRNA". It matches the Rfam family "Bacterial small subunit ribosomal RNA", at positions 338 to 916 of the family's 1533-position model. The record is from RNAcentral.